This 497-nucleotide ribosomal RNA is filed under the name uncultured bacterium. Its description in RNAcentral is "partial 16S ribosomal RNA". It matches the Rfam family "Bacterial small subunit ribosomal RNA", at positions 28 to 507 of the family's 1533-position model. The record is from RNAcentral.
GAUGAACGCUGGCGGCGUGCCUAAUACAUGCAAGCCGAGCGAACAGAUGAGGAGCUUGCUCCUCUGACGUUAGCGGCGGACGGGUGAGUAACACGUGGAUAACCUACCUAUAAGACUGGGAUAACUUCGGGAAACCGGAGCUAAUACCGGAUAAUAUAUUGAACCGCAUGGUUCAAUAGUGAAAGACGGUUUUGCUGUCACUUAUAGAUGGAUCCGCGCCGCAUUAGCUAGUUGGUAAGGUAACGGCUUACCAAGGCAACGAUGCGUAGCCGACCUGAGAGGGUGAUCGGCCACACUGGAACUGAGACACGGUCCAGACUCCUACGGGAGGCAGCAGUAGGGAACCUUCCGCAAUGGGCGAAAGCCUGACGGAGCAACGCCGCGUGAGUGAUGAAGGUCUUCGGAUCGUAAAACUCUGUUAUUAGGGAAGAACAAAUGUGUAAGUAACUAUGCACGUCUUGACGGUACCUAAUCAGAAAGCCACGGCUAACUACGUG